AUUGGGUCUAGUGGAAGGGGUUGGAAUUAGGUUCUUUAAGGUCCCUUCCAACCCGAACCAUUUUAUGAUCACCUAUACUGUAUUUUCUCAAGGCAUUUCUGGUUGCUCUGUGAUAGAGGAAGGAGGAACAGAAUUAAAGGGAGACAGAAUAUGGAAAUAACAAGCUGGGAUGAGAAGUAUCUGGAGAAAGGGUGAAUUUUCCUUCUCUUGCCUGGGCUCUGACUGCACUUUAGAAGCCACGCGGAUGCUCACAAGUUCGUGAUGUCACUGAAGUGAGCUCUUUUCCACUGGGAAGAAGAAAUUUCACUGCAAUUCAGACAUGUUCCUAACAUAGCGAUCUACAGCAAAUUCAGAGGUGCCAAGCCCUGCCAGCCCAAGAUUUCAACCAUAUUUACAGUUGUACUACAUCAGGAGGAUUUGAGGAUUUGGCCACAAGAAAAAACACCUCUGUAGUCAAGAGGAGUUCCAACCCACAACUGGUGGGUGCUCAUCUGAAGGAGCAGCUAACCAGAAUUAGACCCACACAGCAUCUCCACUGCAUCUCACCAACAAGCUGGUUUGGCUGGAUGGCUGCUGAGCGGUGCUGGUAUCCACCUGGCUGA
Molecule: long non-coding RNA, 602 nt
Filed under: Anas platyrhynchos (mallard)
Lineage: Eukaryota; Metazoa; Chordata; Aves; Anseriformes; Anatidae
Description: lncRNA (ENSAPLG00020011276.1)
Source: RNAcentral